RNAcentral lists this ribosomal RNA (253 nucleotides) under uncultured bacterium. RNAcentral's name for it is "partial 16S ribosomal RNA". It matches the Rfam family "Bacterial small subunit ribosomal RNA", at positions 524 to 776 of the family's 1533-position model. The record is from RNAcentral.
UACGGAGGGUCCGAGCGUUAUCCGGAUUUAUUGGGUUUAAAGGGUCCGUAGGCGGGCUAAUAAGUCAGUGGUGAAAUCCUACAGCUCAACUGUAGAACUGCCAUUGAAACUGUUAGCCUUGAAUAUAAUUGAAGUGGGCGGAAUGUGUCAUGUAGCGGUGAAAUGCUUAGAUAUGCCACAGAACACCGAUUGCGAAGGCAGCUCACUAAGUUAUUAUUGACGCUGAGGGACGAAAGCGUGGGUAGCGAACAGG